CUCAGACCUGAAGCUGGCCCUGAUAUUAUUGCUGCCUGUGUUUCAUUUCCCCCAAAACAUUACUGAUCUAGACAGACCAUGAUUUCCCUUACAUCAAAUGUCAGUGUUCUGGAAUUUUCUUGUUUUGAAACUUCAGACUACCAAACCUAACUAUAAAAGGCGCAUUUUAAGAUAUGAUCAAAUGAGGAUAGCUGACCAGCUCAUUCCUUCCUCCACCUUUUGGGAGAGAAGAUGGUCUCAUCAAGGCACAUCAGGAAUUUGUUGAAGAUUCGAUACUUGGUGGUGUUUGUUUCCCAAUAUUUAGCAGGUGAAUGGAAGAGAGAUCCACAUUCGUUAUUUGGGAUUACAACUGGCCACAAUUUUAUUGAGAAACUUGACUUGCCUGGCUACACCAAAUGAGGCCAGUGUAUCCUGCUCCAGACUGGGCCACAAUCUCCUCCAAAGCAGAGCUCAAGAAUGCACCAGAUCUUGGAGAGCUCUAAGGGCACCACAUCAGGACCUUGGCCAGAUCCAGUCUCAGGAAAUACAGGA
Molecule: long non-coding RNA, 531 nt
Organism: Hemicordylus capensis (graceful crag lizard)
Lineage: Eukaryota; Metazoa; Chordata; Lepidosauria; Squamata; Cordylidae
Exons: 3
Source: RefSeq, a predicted model, not a curated record